This 312-nucleotide long non-coding RNA is filed under the name Olea europaea (common olive). RNAcentral describes it as "long non-coding RNA (OEUR_LNC003353)". The record is from RNAcentral. Lineage: Eukaryota; Viridiplantae; Streptophyta; Magnoliopsida; Lamiales; Oleaceae.
UCAGAAUGGUGAUGAUCGUGCUGGUGGCCGUGUUGGUCAACAUGGUGAUGGUCGGGGUGGUUGCCUUGGUCAAUGUGGUGAUGAUCAUGGUGGUUGAGUUGGUCCACAUGGUGAUGAUCUUGGUGGCUGUGUUGGUCAACAUGGUGAUGGUCGUGGUGGCUGUGUUGGUCAACAUGGUGAUGGUCGUGGUGGCUGUGUUGGUCGACCUUGUGAUGAUCUCGGUGUUUAUGUUGGUCAGCAUGGUGAUGAUCAUGGUGGUGGUGAUUGUGGCCAGUGCAUGGAACACUUUUACUUUCAACGCCUUCUUUACCG